RNAcentral lists this ribosomal RNA (306 nucleotides) under uncultured bacterium. RNAcentral describes it as "partial 16S ribosomal RNA". It matches the Rfam family "Bacterial small subunit ribosomal RNA", at positions 507 to 807 of the family's 1533-position model. The record is from RNAcentral.
GACAGCAGCAGCCACGGUAAUACGGAGGGUGCAAGCGUUAUCCGGAUUUAUUGGGUUUAAAGGGUCCGUAGGCGGAUCUGUAAGUCAGUGGUGAAAUCUCACAGCUUAACUGUGAAACUGCCAUUGAUACUGCAGGUCUUGAGUAAAUUUGAAGUGGCUGGAAUAAGUAGUGUAGCGGUGAAAUGCAUAGAUAUUACUUAGAACACCAAUUGCGAAGGCAGGUCACUAAGAUUUAACUGACGCUGAUGGACGAAAGCGUGGGGAGCGAACAGGAUUAGAUACCCGGGUAGUCCCUGUCUCUUAUAC